Molecule: ribosomal RNA, 255 nt
Filed under: uncultured bacterium
Lineage: Bacteria
Description: partial 16S ribosomal RNA
Rfam family: Bacterial small subunit ribosomal RNA
Source: RNAcentral
CACGUAGGGGGGCAAGCGUUGUCCGGAUUCAUUGGGCGUAAAGAGCUCGUAGGUGGUUCGAUAAGUCGGGUGUGAAACCUCCAGGCUCAACCUGGAGACGCCACCCGAUACUGUCGUGACUAGAGUCCAGUAGGGGAGCGUGGAAUUCCUGGUGUAGCGGUGAAAUGCGCAGAUAUCAGGAGGAACACCAGUGGCGAAGGCGGCGCUCUGGGCUGGAACUGACGCUGAGGAGCGAAAGCGUGGGGAGCGAACAGG